UACAGAGACUGCAAGCGUUAUUCGGAUUCACUGGGCGUAAAGGGUGCGCAGGCGGCCAAGUGUGUGAGGCGUGAAAGCCCGGGGCUUAACCCCGGAAUUGCACCUCAAACUACAUGGCUAGAGCAUUGGAGAGGGUAGCGGAAUUCACGGUGUAGCAGUGAAAUGCGUAGAUAUCGUGAGGAACACCAGAGGCGAAGGCGGCUACCUGGACAAUUGCUGACGCUCAGGCACGAAAGCGUGGGGAGCAAACAGG
This 253-nucleotide ribosomal RNA is filed under the name uncultured bacterium. RNAcentral's name for it is "partial 16S ribosomal RNA". It matches the Rfam family "Bacterial small subunit ribosomal RNA", at positions 524 to 776 of the family's 1533-position model. The record is from RNAcentral.